RNAcentral lists this long non-coding RNA (121 nucleotides) under Phascolarctos cinereus (koala). Its description in RNAcentral is "HOX antisense intergenic RNA myeloid 1 conserved region 1 (ENSPCIG00000013710.2)". It matches the Rfam family "HOX antisense intergenic RNA myeloid 1 conserved region 1". The record is from RNAcentral. Lineage: Eukaryota; Metazoa; Chordata; Mammalia; Diprotodontia; Phascolarctidae.
CACCGUUUCAGUGGCAUUUAAAUCCCGGGCGCUCCUCCAUCAAGGUGACGCGCAGUCGCCCCCCCGGCAGCGGCAGUGGCUGCGGCAGCGGCAACGGCAGGAGCCCCGCUCUGGGGCCGGG